AUGAACGCUAGCGGCAGGCCUAACACAUGCAAGUCGAGGGGGAGGUUACUUUCGGGUAACUGAGACCGGCGUACGGGUGCGUAACGCGUAUACAAUCUGCCUUUCACUGGGGGAUAGCCCGAAGAAAUUUGGAUUAAUACCCCAUAGUAUAGUAAUACGGCAUCGUGAUGCUAUUAAAGCUUAGGUGGUGAAAGAUGAGUAUGCGUUCUAUUAGCUAGUUGGAGAGGUAACGGCUCCCCAAGGCGAUGAUAGAUAGGGGUUCUGAGAGGGAUGUCCCCCACACUGGUACUGAGAUACGGACCAGACUCCUACGGGAGGCAGCAGUGAGGAAUAUUGGACAAUGAUCGGAAGACUGAUCCAGCCAUGCCGCGUGCAGGAUGAAGGUCUUAUGGAUUGUAAACUGCUUUUGUAAGGGAAGAAUAAGGGCUACGCGUAGUUUGAUGACGGUACCUUACGAAUAAGCAUCGGCUAACUCCGUG
RNAcentral lists this ribosomal RNA (479 nucleotides) under uncultured bacterium. RNAcentral's name for it is "partial 16S ribosomal RNA". It matches the Rfam family "Bacterial small subunit ribosomal RNA", at positions 29 to 507 of the family's 1533-position model. The record is from RNAcentral.